UAACCUGGGAACUGCAUUUGUGACUGCGAGACUAGAGUGUGGCAGAGGGGGGUAGAAUUCCACGUGUAGCAGUGAAAUGCGUAGAGAUGUGGAGGAAUACCGAUGGCGAAGGCAGCCCCCUGGGCCAACACUGACGCUCAUGCACGAAAGCGUGGGGAGCAAACAGGAUUAGAUACCCUGGUAGUCCACGCCCUAAACGAUGUCAACUAGUUGUUGGGGAAGGAGACUUCCUUAGUAACGCAGCUAACGCGUGAAGUUGACCGCCUGGGGAGUACGGUCGCAAGAUUAAAACUCAAAGGAAUUGACGGGGACCCGCACAAGCGGUGGAUUAUGUGGAUUAAUUCGAUGCAACGCGAAAAACCUUACCUACCCUUGACAUGCCAGGAACUUUCCAGAGAUGGAUUGGUGCCCGAAAGGGAACCUGGACACAGGUGCUGCAUGGCUGUCGUCAGCUCGUGUCGCGAGAUGUUGGGUUAAGUCCCGCAACGAGCGCAACCCUUGCCAUUAAUUGCCAUCAUUCAGUUGGGCACUUUAAUGGGACUGCCGGUGGUAAACCGGAGGAAGGUGGGGAUGACGUCAAGUCCUCAUGGCCCUUAUGGGUAGGGCUUCACACGUAAUACAAUGGUCGGUACAGAGGGUUGCCAACCCGCGAGGGGGAGCUAAUCCCAGAAAGCCGAUCGUAGUCCGGAUUGUUCUCUGCAACUCGAGAGCAUGAAGUCGGAAUCGCUAGUAAUCGCGGAUCAGCAUGUCGCGGUGAAUACGUUCCCGGGUCUUGUACACACCGCCCGUCAC
RNAcentral lists this ribosomal RNA (792 nucleotides) under uncultured Rhodocyclales bacterium. Its description in RNAcentral is "bacterial SSU rRNA". It matches the Rfam family "Bacterial small subunit ribosomal RNA", at positions 610 to 1400 of the family's 1533-position model. Lineage: Bacteria; Pseudomonadati; Pseudomonadota; Betaproteobacteria; Rhodocyclales. The record is from RNAcentral.